UUGUAAGUUUCUGUUGUCAGAGACGAUCAUGACCGUUCUAACAGGGGAAGCCCUUGACGGUACCUGACAACAAUUUCUGUUGUCAGAGACGAUCAUGACCGUUCUAACAGGGGAAGCCCUUGACGGUACCUGACAACAACCCCCCGGCUAGUAACGUGCCAGCAGCCGCGGUAA
RNAcentral lists this ribosomal RNA (174 nucleotides) under uncultured Bacillus sp. Its description in RNAcentral is "partial 16S ribosomal RNA". The record is from RNAcentral. Lineage: Bacteria; Bacillati; Bacillota; Bacilli; Caryophanales; Bacillaceae.